AAGCAAAACAAUGGCAUUGCUGUCAAGCACAGAAAUGAAGUUUAAGAUUUCAGUAAUAAGUGGUUACUCAAAAAGGGUCAGGGAACCUUAGAGUGUAAUCCAGACACAUAUAAGUUGGCUUGAUUGUGAAAUGGACCAUCCUCACAGUUAAUGGAGGAUACUUGAAAAGCUAGGCAGAAAUGAUCUACAGUGACCAUGUGGGUGCAAGACAACUACUUGAGACAAGAGAGGAACAUUUAUCCUCCAGGCUUCUCAUACUUACUCAAGCAGAAAGACUCUGCAUGGGGAGAAGGUUCUUUACAGCAUUCCACAUUUUUAAUGAGCUUCCUUGCAAAGGCGACUGCAUUUGCCUCCAGACUUGUCAGACACAGUGAGCCGCUCAAGCAAAAUGGAUCUGGCAGAAUCCGCCAAGCGGCUGGGCCCAGGCUGUGGCAUGAUGGCCGGAGGCAAGAAGCACCUGGACUUCUAGGGAUUCCUCCUUAGUCGCUGCAUGCAGAAUUCUGUGACACUCUAAUUAUGAUUGCUAAUAGCUUAUGUAAAUAUUUUUCUUAACAAUUUGACCCUCCGCUCCUUGAAA
Molecule: small RNA, 577 nt
Filed under: Pongo abelii (Sumatran orangutan)
Lineage: Eukaryota; Metazoa; Chordata; Mammalia; Primates; Hominidae
Description: processed transcript
Source: RNAcentral